UGUAGAACUGAGGCAGCUGAGGAGGAUCUGCUUCCUGCUGAGAGGACAAAUGGAGAGAGUUUUCUGCCCUGAGAUGCAUCAUCCCUGUCUGACCAGUCAUAGCUUAGUCCAUCAUAAUCCAUCAAUCCUCUCUGCAUCUCUGGAAAAAACAUUGCCCAGAUCCUUUCAGAGGUUAUUGGGAAUAUGCAGUUUCUCCAUUUACCUGAUUUGCAGGGUAAGUUGGCAUGAAGCCACUGGAAGCCUGGGCUGUAGCUCCCCCUACUGGCCCAACAAGGUUAAUGCCCAUGACUGGUUGCCCAAGGUUGAGGGGCAUAGAGCCUGCAGGACCUGAAGGCAUCCCCGUUGGCUGACUCACUGCAGUAGGCAAAGUCAUAGGAAAGCCACUUAAAGUUGGAACAGGAGCCGCUGGAAACUGGUUUAAAGCAUCAGGACUCAUGGCGGGAACACCCCUCUAUAUAGGAAGAAAAUGAAAACAUUUUAGCAGAUUAUAAACCACAUACAACCUAAAUCUGGCAAAGACAGACCAAAAUGUAAAAUCUGUAGCAUUGGUAUGAUUCCACUCCUAACUCUCCCAAAACUCAUGAAUUUUAUACAAGAAAAUAAAUUAUAAGGUUAAUGCAAAUCUAAUAUUUAGCAAAGAAAUGGCCAACAUGUAUCAAUUCUGACAUUUUCACUCUCUGACAAGUUUGGUUAAUUUACUAUAAUCAAAUCAGGAUUAGAUAUGUUAUAAAUGGCUUUGUAAUAUAAGAGAAAUUACUAUCAGAUGGAAACUACUUUAUAUCUGAGGAAUUUUAAACAAGCACUUCAAAGGACAGAGAGAAACUUCAUCUAUUAUUGAAUAACUUUCAAGUUCAAAGAGAGAUAGGUCAGAAGAUGUUAAUAUAUUAAAUAGUUUUUAAACAAAGGAAUAUUUUCUAGUAUGUGCUUCAUAUAAACUAUACAUUUUUUGAAGUACUAUCUUGAAAAUAAUUUAAACUUUAAUGUACAAAGAAUGCUACGAGGUUGUAAUCACAAAGGAUUCAUAUUCUUCCAAUUUAUAUUGAAAAAUUAUUUGAUCUAACUUAAACAAUGUCUACCUGUGUUACUGCUAUCAUGGCGAGAACAGUAUAAAGUUCUUCUUUAGUAAGUUUGCCAGGUGUAGUUCGAUUAGCUAAGGCCCAUAUCUGUCCAAGAGUUUCCCUGGGAAGUCCAGAUGACAUCAAAAUGGGAUAAAGUUUUGCAGUAUCUAUUCCAGUUGGAGUCAUGGUGGUUUCUAAGAUUUUCUUAUAGACAUCUAUUAAAGGAAAGACCAGAUUACAAAAAUAAAUAUAUUACCACUAAUUGAUCUUUUUUGUUGUCAAUGUUGCUUAUAGGAGAAUCAUCUUAAGUCAAACUGCUUUAAUAGAACUAAAGCCAUGCCAGGGUUUGAACCGCUGUAAAGAUAUUCAAGUGGAAAUAUCCAGCAGAUAAUUAAGGUCUGGUGCUUAGAAGAGAGGUUGGAGCUUGGUCCUAAAGAUGAAGAUUUGGGACUAAGGGGAGAGUGGAAGAGAGAGGGAAAGACAUAGAGAAACACAUUGAUUGAUUGGCUCUUGCAGGAGCCCUGGCCAGGGCCGGGGAGAAGCCUGCAACCAAGGUACGUACCCUUGACCGGAAUCGAACCCAGGACCCUUUGGUCCACAGGCCUACGCUUGCUCAUUCAUGGAGUCAAACUGGCUAGGGCAGGAGGACAAUCUUUUGCAUUCAAAAGCAAUUAAAAAACAAACAAACAAGGAGAUAGACAAAAUAAAAACAGUUUUCGUUUGGCAUAUAAAGAAGAAACUUCCACUUGGGAAGGCAUGUCAUAUGGGAGAAAAAGCAAUUGUCUGGGAAUCAGUUCUACAUUUGGGUCCAGGUUCUGCUAGUAACUGUGUAGCCUUGACUCACAAGUGGCUUCAUCUCUCUGGUCCUCACUUUUCCUAGCUGUAAAAUAAGAGGCUUGAAUUAGAGCAGUGGUUCUCAACCUUGGCUGCACAUUAGAAUCACCUGGGAAUCUUUGUAAAAUCCUGAUUUCUGGGCCUCAUCCUCCGGAAAUUCUGUUUCUUUGUUACUAAUGUUGUGGCCUCACCCCAUAACAAAGAGAAUCAUUAAGGUCCCUUCUGGCUUUAAACUUAAAAUAGAAGUAUUUUAAAGAGUUUUAAAGGCAACAUGACUGUUUUGGUUCCAAAUCUGCAUUAGAGAACAUUUGAAAAGCUUAGAAUAACUGCUAUCAUGUAUUUUUUAUCCUUGAAUCCUGAGGUCCCUUACU
Myotis daubentonii (Daubenton's bat) is the source of this 2263-nucleotide long non-coding RNA. RefSeq lists it as uncharacterized. Lineage: Eukaryota; Metazoa; Chordata; Mammalia; Chiroptera; Vespertilionidae. The record is from RefSeq and is a predicted model, not a curated record.